UACGGGAGGCAGCAGUGGGGAAUAUUGCACAAUGGGCGAAAGCCUGAUGCAGCUAUGCCGCGUGUAUGAAGAAGGCCUUAGGGUUGUAAAGUACUUUCAUCGGGGAGGAAAAAACAAAACUAAUAAUUUUAUUUCUUGACGUUACCCGAAAAAGAAGCACCGGCUAACUCCGUGCCAGCAGCCGCGGUAAUACGGAGGGUGCUAGCGUUAAUCAGAAUUACUGGGCGUAAAGAGCACGUAGGUGGUUUUUUUAAAGUCAGAUGUGAAAUCCCUGGGCUUAACCUGGAACUGCAUUUUGAAACUGAAAUACUAGAGUAUCGUAGAGGGAGGUAGAAUUCUAGGUGUAGCGGUGAAAUGCGUAGAUAUCUGGAGGAAUACCUGUGGCGAAAGCGGCCUCCUAAACGAAUACUGACACUGAGGUGCGAAAGCGUGGGGAGCAAAACAGGGAUUAAAUACC
RNAcentral lists this ribosomal RNA (457 nucleotides) under uncultured bacterium. Its description in RNAcentral is "bacterial SSU rRNA". It matches the Rfam family "Bacterial small subunit ribosomal RNA", at positions 340 to 786 of the family's 1533-position model. The record is from RNAcentral.